CCUACGGGAGGCAGCAGUGGGGGAUAUUGCACAAUGGGGGGAACCCUGAUGCAGCGACGCCGCGUGGGUGAAGAAGCGCCUCGGCGCGUAAAGCCCUGUCAGCAGGGAAGAAAAUGACGGUACCUGAAGAAGAAGCCCCGGCUAACUACGUGCCAGCAGCCGCGGUAAUACGUAGGGGGCAAGCGUUAUCCGGAUUUACUGGGUGUAACGGGGGCGCAGGCGGCGGUGCAAGCCAGGAGUGAAAGCCCGGGGCCCAACCCCGGGACUGCUCUUGGAACUGGGUGGCUGGAGUGCAGGAGGGGCAGGCGGAAUUCCUGGUGUAGCGGUGAAAUGCGUAGAUAUCAGGAGGAACACCAGUGGCGAAGGCGGCCUGCUGGACUGCAACUGACGUUGAGGCCCGAAAGCGUGGGGAGCAAACAGGAUUAGAUACCCGUGUAGUC
RNAcentral lists this ribosomal RNA (440 nucleotides) under uncultured bacterium. Its description in RNAcentral is "partial 16S ribosomal RNA". It matches the Rfam family "Bacterial small subunit ribosomal RNA", at positions 338 to 795 of the family's 1533-position model. The record is from RNAcentral.